GGGCGCUUAGCUCAGUGGUAGAGCACCUCGUUUACACCGAGGGGGUCAUUGGUUCGACACCAAUAGUGCCCA
Molecule: transfer RNA, 72 nt
Filed under: Chlamydiia bacterium
Lineage: Bacteria; Pseudomonadati; Chlamydiota; Chlamydiia
Description: tRNA-Val
Rfam family: tRNA
About the family: Transfer RNA (tRNA) molecules are approximately 80 nucleotides in length. Their secondary structure includes four short double-helical elements and three loops (D, anti-codon, and T loops).
Source: RNAcentral